RNAcentral lists this ribosomal RNA (253 nucleotides) under uncultured bacterium. RNAcentral's name for it is "partial 16S ribosomal RNA". It matches the Rfam family "Bacterial small subunit ribosomal RNA", at positions 524 to 776 of the family's 1533-position model. The record is from RNAcentral.
UACGUAGGGUGCGAGCGUUAAUCGGAAUUACUGGGCGUAAAGCGUGCACAGGCGGUUAUGUAAGACAGGUGUGAAAUCCCCGGGCUUAACCUGGGAACUGCAUUUGUGACUGCAUAGCUAGAGUACGGUAGAGGGGGAUGGAAUUCCGCGUGUAGCAGUGAAAUGCGUAGAUAUGCGGAGGAACACCGAUGGCGAAGGCAAUCCCCUGGACCUGUACUGACGCUCAUGCACGAAAGCGUGGGGAGCAAACAGG